GGAGCCUGAUGCAGCAACGCCGCGUGAGGGAUGACGGCCUUCGGGUUGUAAACCUCUUUUAGCAGGGAAGAAGCGAAAGUGACGGUACCUGCAGAAAAAGCGCCGGCUAACUACGUGCCAGCAGCCGCGGUAAUACGUAGGGCGCAAGCGUUAUCCGGAAUUAUUGGGCGUAAAGAGCUCGUAGGCGGUUUGUCGCGUCUGCUGUGAAAUCCCGAGGCUCAACCUCGGGCCUGCAGUGGGUACGGGCAGACUAGAGUGCGGUAGGGGAGAUUGGAAUUCCUGGUGUAGCGGUGGAAUGCGCAGAUAUCAGGAGGAACACCGAUGGCGAAGGCAGAUCUCUGGGCCGUAACUGACGCUGAGGAGCGAAAGGGUGGGGAGCAAACAGGCUUAGAUACCCUGGUAGUCCACCCCGUAAACGUUGGGAACUAGUUGUGGGGACCAUUCCACGGUUUCCGUGACGCAGCUAACGCAUUAAGUUCCCCGCCUGGGGAGUACGGCCGCAAGGCUAAAACUCAAAGGAAUUGACGGGGACCCGCACAAGCGGCGGAGCAUGCGGAUUAAUUCGAUGCAACGCGAAGAACCUUACCAAGGCUUGACAUAUACGAGAACGGGCCAGAAAUGGUCAACUCUUUGGACACUC
Molecule: ribosomal RNA, 640 nt
Filed under: Microbacterium sp. Ri2Pt_3919
Lineage: Bacteria; Bacillati; Actinomycetota; Actinomycetes; Micrococcales; Microbacteriaceae
Description: bacterial SSU rRNA
Rfam family: Bacterial small subunit ribosomal RNA
Source: RNAcentral